RNAcentral lists this non-coding RNA (22 nucleotides) under Mus musculus (house mouse). The record is from RNAcentral. Lineage: Eukaryota; Metazoa; Chordata; Mammalia; Rodentia; Muridae.
UAGACUCAAAGUCCUCAUUGAG